UCUCUGCGAUCAAACAAGGCCAAAGGAGGGGGAAACCCUAGUUCAAAGAAUCAAGUGAAUCAAUCCAAAUUCAUGAGCCAAUCUGAUGCAUGUUCUCUAAAUUGUGAUUAGCUAACCCUAAUCUCUUAAGUGGCGUAAAAGAAGAAGGUACAAGCACUAAGCAAGCGGAAGGAGUACAAGAUCGAGGUAAAGCACCUCUAUAGGCGAUUUGGAGAUAUGGGACGAGCACAUGUUCAAGCCUUAUGAUACCAAGCGCUUCCGCAACUUAUAUGCAUGUUU
Molecule: long non-coding RNA, 279 nt
Organism: Helianthus annuus (common sunflower)
Lineage: Eukaryota; Viridiplantae; Streptophyta; Magnoliopsida; Asterales; Asteraceae
Exons: 3
Source: RefSeq, a predicted model, not a curated record